Long non-coding RNA from Balaenoptera musculus (blue whale), 443 nucleotides. RefSeq lists it as uncharacterized. The transcript is spliced from 3 exons. Lineage: Eukaryota; Metazoa; Chordata; Mammalia; Artiodactyla; Balaenopteridae. The record is from RefSeq and is a predicted model, not a curated record.
CCCCAGCAACGCCCUCAGACCAGUCUCUGUUUUGGCCACUGCAACUGCAAACUCUUUUCUUGUCUAAGACUUCAUGAGCCAUCUUUGGAAAGCUGGGAUAUCUACCUUGUGAACAGAUUCAGGGCUGUGUUUGUUUCAUUUAUUCACUAAAGACUCACUGAACGCAUCCUAUGCACAAGCCCGCAGAGCUGGGGAACACAACUAGUGACCCAGCGUCCAUGCUUGCCCUGAAGGAGGUGACAGUUCAGUGGGAUCACAGGAAUAGCCAGGAGAGCCGUGCAGUUGUCAUACAGUGAAGAACGGAUGAGAUGAUGGGAGAUGGAGUUGGAGGAUACGAGGGGGGGCCAGAUGACAAUGGCCUUUGUAACCAACGUCAUGCCCUUGACUGAUCGAGUUAGCAAGACAAGGACCCGCCAGGCUGGAUCAUGAGAAGUUUAAAAAAC